Molecule: ribosomal RNA, 468 nt
Filed under: uncultured bacterium
Lineage: Bacteria
Description: partial 16S ribosomal RNA
Rfam family: Bacterial small subunit ribosomal RNA
Source: RNAcentral
GACGAACGCUGGCGGCGUGCUUAACACAUGCAAGUCGAACGGAAAGGCCCUGCUUUUGUGGGGUGCUCGAGUGGCGAACGGGUGAGUAACACGUGAGUAACCUGCCCUUGACUUUGGGAUAACUUCAGGAAACUGGGGCUAAUACCGGCUAGGAGCUCCUGCUGCAUGGUGGGGGUUGGAAAGUUUCGGCGGUUGGGGAUGGACUCGCGGCUUAUCAGCUUGUUGGUGGGGUAGUGGCUUACCAAGGCUUUGACGGGUAGCCGGCCUGGGAGGGUGACCGGCCACAUUGGGACUGAGAUACGGCCCGGACUCCUACGGGAGGCAGCAGUGGGGAAUAUUGCACAAUGGGCGGAAGCCUGAUGCAGCAACGCCGCGUGCGGGAUGACGGCCUUCGGGUUGGAAACCGCUUUCGCCUGUGACGAAGCGUGAGUGACGGUAAUGGGUAAAGAAGCACCGGCUAACUACGUG